UACAGAGGUCCCAAGCGUUGUUCGGAUUCACUGGGCGUAAAGGGUGCGCAGGUGGGUUGGCAAGUUCGAUGUGAAAGCCCCGGGCUUAACCCGGGAAUGGCAUUGGAUACUGUUGAUCUGGAGGGUCGGAGGGGGGACUGGAAUUCAUGGUGUAGCAGUGAAAUGCGUAGAGAUCAUGAGGAAGACCAGUGGCGAAGGCGGGUCUCUGGACAGUUCCUGACACUGAGGCACGAAGGCCAGGGGAGCAAACGGG
RNAcentral lists this ribosomal RNA (253 nucleotides) under uncultured bacterium. RNAcentral's name for it is "partial 16S ribosomal RNA". It matches the Rfam family "Bacterial small subunit ribosomal RNA", at positions 524 to 776 of the family's 1533-position model. The record is from RNAcentral.